This 466-nucleotide ribosomal RNA is filed under the name uncultured bacterium. Its description in RNAcentral is "partial 16S ribosomal RNA". It matches the Rfam family "Bacterial small subunit ribosomal RNA", at positions 28 to 507 of the family's 1533-position model. The record is from RNAcentral.
GAUGAACGCUGGCGGCGUGCUUAACACAUGCAAGUCGAACGGAAAGGCCCAAGCUUGCUUGGGUACUCGAGUGGCGAACGGGUGAGUAACACGUGGGUGAUCUGCCCUGCACUUCGGGAUAAGCCUGGGAAACUGGGUCUAAUACCGGAUAGGACCACAUUUUGGAUGGUGUGGUGGAAAGUUUUUCGGUGUGGGAUGAGCUCGCGGCCUAUCAGCUUGUUGGUGGGGUAAUGGCCUACCGAGGCGUCGACGGGUAGCCGGCCUGAGAGGGUGUACGGCCACAUUGGGACUGAGAUACGGCCCAGACUCCUACGGGAGGCAGCAGUGGGGAAUAUUGCACAAUGGGCGCAAGCCUGAUGCAGCGACGCCGCGUGGGGGAUGACGGCCUUCGGGUUGUAAACUCCUUUCGCUAGGGACGAAGCGUUAUGUGACGGUACCUGGAGAAGAAGCACCGGCUAACUACGUG